GAUAAUUAGUUUAAUAAAAAUUAAUGAUUUCGACUCAUUAGACCAUGGCCCCUACCAUGAUUAUCA
This 66-nucleotide transfer RNA is filed under the name Reithrodon auritus (bunny rat). RNAcentral describes it as "tRNA-Arg". The record is from RNAcentral. Lineage: Eukaryota; Metazoa; Chordata; Mammalia; Rodentia; Cricetidae.